AAAGAUUAAGCCAUGCAUGUCUAAGUAUAAGCAAUUUGUACGGUGAAACUGCGAAUGGCUCGUUAAAUCAGUUAUCGUUUAUUUGAUAGUACCUUACUACAUGGAUACCCGUGGUAAUUCUAGAGCUAAUACAUGCUAAAAACCUCGACUUCGGAAGGGGUGUAUUUAUUAGAUAAAAAACCAAUGCCCUUCGGGGCUCCUUGGUGUUUCAUAAUAACUUGUCGAAUCGCAUGGCCUUGCGCUGGCGAUGGUUCAUUCAAAUUUCUGCCCUAUCAACUUUCGAUGGUAGGAUAGUGGCCUACCAUGGUGG
RNAcentral lists this ribosomal RNA (310 nucleotides) under uncultured fungus. RNAcentral's name for it is "SSU rRNA". It matches the Rfam family "Eukaryotic small subunit ribosomal RNA", at positions 39 to 352 of the family's 1831-position model. Lineage: Eukaryota; Fungi. The record is from RNAcentral.